AUUGUUCAGUCAGUCGAGUGUGGCGCUAACAACGCUAAGGUCACGGGUUCGAUUCCCGUU
This 60-nucleotide transfer RNA is filed under the name Apaloderma vittatum (bar-tailed trogon). It matches the Rfam family "tRNA", at positions 7 to 64 of the family's 71-position model. From Rfam's summary of the family: Transfer RNA (tRNA) molecules are approximately 80 nucleotides in length. Their secondary structure includes four short double-helical elements and three loops (D, anti-codon, and T loops). Lineage: Eukaryota; Metazoa; Chordata; Aves; Trogoniformes; Trogonidae. The record is from Rfam by way of RNAcentral.